Molecule: ribosomal RNA, 1279 nt
Filed under: Heptageniidae sp. YW03BF02
Lineage: Eukaryota; Metazoa; Arthropoda; Insecta; Ephemeroptera; Heptageniidae
Description: 16S ribosomal RNA
Rfam family: Bacterial large subunit ribosomal RNA
Source: RNAcentral
AGAAGACGUUAGCAUAAUAGUUUAGGUAACAAGAUUGGGUAAUUAAAUCAAUAUAAGGGAUAUUGUUCAAGUAUGAGGUACAAAAAGAAUAAGUUUAGCAAUAGAGUAGUACCGUGAGGGAAAGCUGAAAUAAUUGAAAAUUUGUUAUAGGAGAAGUAGGCUAGGUGCUGUACCUUUUGUAUCAGGGUUUAUUAAAUUGAUGAGUAAAUACUAAAGUCUCGAUAUAAGGAGGGCUACCAGGGUAUGGGAGUUAAGGUUGCAAACUUACAUUUAAUACUUAGGUAGUAACGAAAUGUUAACCGAUCCUUGAGGUUUCUAGUUCUUUGAGAAACGAAUUUAAUUCGGAGUUGUGAGAAUUGAUGGAUUUAGUCCUAUAAUUUAAAACAGCAGAAACAAUUCGGGGGAUAAGCUCUGGAUUGUUUUUAAAACUAAGAAUCACGUAAAAUUGGUAGGCUUGAAAGUAGCCAUCUGCGAAAGGAUGUUAUAAUUUAUUUUAGUGAGGUUAAAUUUUGUUUAGUUUAGUUAAGGUAUCAAGGAAUCAAUUAGAAUUUUAUAGUUGAGGUAUAAUGAUGAAAUUAGUACAAUAAUCUAAUAGGUUUAAAAUUCUAGUAAGGAACUCGGCAAAUAUAAUGCUCGCCUGUUUAUCAAAAACAUCGCCUUUUGAAGGAAUAGAAGGUCUAACCUGCCCACUGAAUUAUUUAAAGGGCCGCGGUAUUUUGACCGUGCAAAGGUAGCAUAAUCAUUAGUCUUCUAAUUAAAGGCUGGAAUGAAUGGUUGGACGAGGUAUUAGCUGUCUCACUAGUAAUAUUGGAAUUUAGCUUUUUAGUCAAAAGGCUGAAAUAUAAUUGGAGGACGAGAAGACCCUAUAGAGCUUUAUAUUUAAAGUGUUUAUCUUUUUUAGUAGGAUUUUAGGUUUAUGCGGUAAAUAUUUCGUUGGGGUGACGGGGAGAUAAAUUAAACUCUUUUUAGAAAUUAACACGGAUGAGUGAUUAUUUGAUCCAUAAAUAAUGAUUAUAAGACUAAGUUACCUUAGGGAUAACAGCGUAAUCUUUUUUGAGAGUUCUAAUCGACGAAAAGGGUUGCGACCUCGAUGUUGGACUAAAGGUUAUUCUUGGGUGUAGCAGCUCAGGGUUUAGGUCUGUUCGACCUUUGAAUCUUUACAUGAUCUGAGUUCAGACCGGCGUAAGCCAGGUCGGUUUCUAUCCUCAAUCAGUGAGAAUGUUUUAGUACGAAAGGACCGAAUAUUUGGGAUAAUCUUAAUUAGUGAAUUCUAUUAACA